CUAAGACGGGCACUGGAGGUGGCUGGUCGCGGCCGGCGUCUGCCGGGAGGGCUCUGUGCGCUCGGUUCUCCCGGGAGGCUCGUUGUUCUCGCUUCUGCCGCCCAGGCCGCCGCGCCUCCCUAGACCCUUUCUCCGCUUGUCCUCUAGCCAGUCCCCAGGAUCCUCAUGUCGCGCCUUGCGCGCCCCCACCGCUUGUCCGAGCCCCGGCACCCCCCGCGGGAUGAUGACCACAGCCUCUUACCGGCCUUCAGUCCCCAGGCUCGCGCAGACGCCGGCACGUGGCUGUUCUCUGAAAACCCUGCAAAGCUUGACACUUAAAUGAAGUUGUGAAAGUAUUUGGAGAGAGUAUUAGAAAGUGAUCCACGUCCAGCCGCUUGGAGCGGGCAGUGAGUUGGUGUUCUGUGGGAGCGCAACAAAGGGUAGAGGCAAGGGAAUGGCGAUGCUCCACCACGGAUUCAGAACUGGAUGAGAUGAGAAAUGAGUACACGAGAGGUACUGCGGAAAGGUACUGUGUGCGCUGAAUUGGAGGUGCCAGUGCAGUGGAAGAAAUGUCACCAGAGCCAAACGCUGGUAGAGCAGGGUCCCAGAAAUAGGGCAUGGAGGUGGCCACUUCGUCUAUAUCUGUAGGCUAGGUGGAACUAUAGUCACGGGUAGAAGACAGUCUCCCUGUUGGAGAAGGAGAAACUCAGAAGCCAGGGCGGUAGGGGACCACUGUCACUGAUACCGAACUGUCCUAUCAUUGCUCCUGAUGUUUUUCAUGGAGAAAAAGGCUGAGAACCAGGUACUCAGUAUUUAAGGACCUUUCACCCCGAUGUGUUGGAGGGAGAAUGCAUGACUGCAACAAGGAAGCACUUACUUGGAAGAACUUGGGGGUUUGAGGGAUGAAUGAGGAGGAAUGAGGAUAUCCUCCCCUUCUGCUCUGUGUUUUUGAAUAUAUGCGUAACGAAAGUUCUGGAGGACAUGCACUAGAAUGUUGCAGUGGGACAGGGGGCAUUUAUGGGUGGUAGGGUUAGGGGUGCUUCUAAUGCCCUUUAUACUUUUUAAAAAUUCCUUGACUUUGUAUCUUAUGACGCACAUAAAUUUAACCUUCCACACAAUAAAUAAUAGAACUCUUUACAUUUCGAAAAAAAGACCCCGCUGUGGCUUCCCCAGUGGGCUCACACAUUAGCCUGAAUUAAAAGACAUUGUAGUCUGACCAUACCAAUACUAUAUGAAGCUCUCCUCCUCAACUCUCCACACUCCCUGUUUAGAACUUAAUGGCCCACCAACUGAAAGCUGUUUGUCCCAUGCCUUUUUAAACUCUAAGUAUGCAGCCCCCAUGCUUCAAGUCUUAGCCCAGUCACUGAGACUCAGAUAGAUGUCACGAACUUCGGGAAAGCUUACUCACUGUCCUCCCCUCCCACGGGCCUUCUGUGCUCCCAGUACCACACCCAACUUGCUCUCAUGGCUCUGAGCAUUAUUUCUAGCCCUCUGUGCACCUCUGCCCCACUGAUUCACAGACUGAGCUCUAAAGGGCUAGGGCCCCCAUUGCCCCCCUCCUGGCCUUCUGUCUAAUGCAUUUAGAAAUGUCCCUGUGGAAGCACUCACUGAGUGCACAUCAGGCAGAGACAUGAGCAAGAAGGUGCGAAGGCGGAGGCAGGGCUCUCUGCACAGUCCAUGCUCGUGCUGCCAAGACCUGGGGUACUGAAGCUCUCUGGCCACCAUCUGUUUGAGGUCCAACUUUAUACUUCCGUCAUGGUGUGGGAACCCCAAGCUAAAAUAACAAAAAAAUGUAACUAGUCUCGGACCAUUGGAAUCCCCAGGGACCCCUAUAAAUAAGACCCAGUAUUCCCCUCAGGAACUUCCAUCAUCUGGGGCACAUGCCUUCCAACAGAAACAACAACCCUCUGUCAACAAGUAUUCCCAGUAAAAGAUUGAAAACCCAAUGAGCUGCCAUGAGGGUAACAUGCAGAUUCAACAAGCAGGAUAAUUAGUUCUUCAAGAUCUGGAGAUGAUAGAACAACCUGAGAUGGAGAGGUCAAACAAUUUUUAACAGCUUUGGUGAGAUAUGAUAACCAUCUAAUAAACCACAUGUUGAAAGUGUGCAGUUCAACAAGUUUUGA
This is a long non-coding RNA of Camelus dromedarius (Arabian camel), 2102 nucleotides long. RefSeq lists it as uncharacterized. Lineage: Eukaryota; Metazoa; Chordata; Mammalia; Artiodactyla; Camelidae. The record is from RefSeq and is a predicted model, not a curated record. The transcript has 2 exons.